GACGAACGCUGGCGGCAUGCCUAAUACAUGCAAGUCGAGCGAACAGAUGAAGUGCUUGCACUUCUGACGUUAGCGGCGAACGGGUGAGUAACACGUAAGGAAUCUACCUAUAAGCGGGGGAUAACAUUCGGAAACGGGUGCUAAUACCGCAUAAUAUCUUCUUCCGCAUGGAAGAAGAUUGAAAGACGGCUCUGCUGUCACUUAUAGAUGACCUUGCGGUGCAUUAGUUAGUUGGUGGGGUAACGGCCUACCAAGACGAUGAUGCAUAGCCGACCUGAGAGGGUGAUCGGCCACAUUGGGACUGAGACACGGCCCAAACUCCUACGGAGGCAGCAGUAGGGAAUCUUCCGCAAUGGGCGAAAGCCUGACGGAGCAAUGCCGCGUGAGUGAAGAAGGCCUCGGGUCGUAAACUCUGUUAUAAGAGAAGAAC
Molecule: ribosomal RNA, 430 nt
Filed under: uncultured bacterium
Lineage: Bacteria
Description: bacterial SSU rRNA
Rfam family: Bacterial small subunit ribosomal RNA
Source: RNAcentral